This 445-nucleotide ribosomal RNA is filed under the name uncultured bacterium. Its description in RNAcentral is "bacterial SSU rRNA". It matches the Rfam family "Bacterial small subunit ribosomal RNA", at positions 29 to 519 of the family's 1533-position model. The record is from RNAcentral.
AGCGAACGCUGGCGGCAGGCCUAAAACAUGCAAGUCGAACGGAUCCUUCGGGAUUAGUGGCGGACGGGUGAGUAACACGUGGGAACGUGCCUUUUGGUUCGGAACAACUCAGGGAAACUUGAGCUAAUACCGAAUGUGCCCUUCGGGGGAAAGAUUUAUCGCCAUUAGAGCGGCCCGCGUCUGAUUAGCUUGUUGGUGAGGUAAAGGCUCACCAAGGCGACGAUCAGUAGCUGGUCUGAGAGGAUGAUCAGCCACACUGGGACUGAGACACGGCCCAGACUCCUACGGGAGGCAGCAGUUGGGAAUCUUGCGCAAUGGGGGAAACCCUGACGCAGCCAUGCCGCGUGAAUGAUGAAGGUCUUAGGAUUGUGAAAUUCUUUCAGCGGGGACGAUAAUGACGGUACCCGCAGAAGAAGCCCCGGCUAACUUCGUGCCAGCAGCCGCG